UCACACAGCAGUGCGAGUGGGGAGGGCAUGGCGCUGCCUCGCCAGGGUGCAGAGCUCUGGGCUGAGACCCUCUCUGGAGAGAUGUACGCAGGCUUGUUUCCUGAUCUCACCCUGGUUUGCUUUGAGAAUUCAGUCACUUUGCUUUGUCCUGCAGCAGGAAGAGCUGAUGGAAAGCAAGAGUCUGCUGUACCAGGAAGGCAGCACAUGCCUGUGUCCUCAUGUAUGGGAAGCAUUAGGUCAUGGGCUGACCCAGUGGUUGAGCACCUGGUGAAGGGGUGUAGCCAGCCCUGGGAGUGCAGGUGGAAGCAAUUCACCUGUGUAACCCUGGGUCCACCCUUGCCUAAGCUCAUUUAAGGGCUGGCAGCCACAAAGGAAGCAUCUCUACUUGGAGAUCAUCAGGUUUGAUGAGCCCUGAUUCUUGGGAAGGGGGUGGGCAACGCCAAGGGCCAGAGUCCAGCCUGCAGCUCAGCAGUAUGUGGAGGAAUGGGCACAGGGUGGUGCUGAGCUGAGGGACCACAAACCACAGCAGCAAGAACACGUGUCCUGCUGGGCAGAUGAGGGCACUGAAAAAAUCGUUGCGCUGAAGACAGAAACCAGAACGAGCCACUUAUUUUUCAAACUCAUUGUUUUUAAUGCAGCUGUGAAACAUCAUAUAGGUAUGAAAACUGGAAAGGAAGAUAGGGCGGGGUGUGGGGUGAGGAUGUUUUACAUCUGUAAGAGCAGGGGAGGUUUUUCAAGUGUUAUUAUCUUUUGAUUUGAAGAUCUGUGGCAACGCUCCCUUGGAAAAUAGCCAUCAGCGUGAGGCACAGGGGAGCACGGAGGCCUGAAGAACAGAGGGUAAGCCAUGCUGUGAGGCCAUAAAAUGCUUGUUUUGAAAUGAUGCUGUGCCCCACGCUCCCAGGGAGCCGGCUCAUGUGGUGGGUGUGCAAAUCUUUCACUUAGUGAGCAUUACCCUUGCUCUCUCCACAACCCACCUCUCCAGCAAAGCAGUUUAAGCAGCUUUAGCUGUGCAGAUCUGCCAGGCUGUGUUUUUGAACUUCCUUCCACAGCUGAAGAGAAUCCAGCCCUAAAACUACUAAAGGCAACAGAGGCUGUCAGAAAUAGCAUCCAAAAUCAGCUCCUGCAGCAGGUAAGGAUCCCCUUCUGUCCCUGGCUUAGUACCAAGAACACUGACUGCUAGCUCUGCUUUGGAGGGGAUGGGGGAAGUUCAGAAGACACCCCCAGAGAGUACAGACUGAUUCCUGGUCUUCCAGGGAGAUUCCCUUCAGUAUUACAUUCCAGUUAAGCUAUUUGCAUUCUGGGUUUGAAUCCUCAGCGUGUAUUUAAUCUCUGUUAACGGUAUUUGGCAAAUUGAAGGGUUUGAAUGCUUUUAAAAGAUGCUCCAACGUUAAGUCUCCUGCUAUUGGAGGAUAUGAGCACAAACAAGACCUGCCAACGCUGCUGGGUCUGUGCUUCCUGGCACCCAACCGCAGCUGCUAUGUGCUCACCUCCCACAGUCACACAGUCAGUGCCCUCUAGUGCCUGCUGAAGCAUCCCAGCUCCUCCCAGAGAGCAGCGUGACGCAGGGGAUAGACAGCAUGUGAGAGGUCACAGAUUGUGAAACCAAACUCCAACACAGCUGCAGACAAACCACCCAAAACUUACAGACUGUAAUGAUUUACAAAGUGACCUGCGGAUCUUACAUCAAGACCAAGGCAAUGUUUCCCACCAAACU
Long non-coding RNA from Tympanuchus pallidicinctus (lesser prairie-chicken), 1714 nucleotides. RefSeq lists it as uncharacterized. The record is from RefSeq and is a predicted model, not a curated record. Lineage: Eukaryota; Metazoa; Chordata; Aves; Galliformes; Phasianidae. The transcript has 2 exons.